UUCGGCGAGCGGCGGACGGCUGAGUAACGCGUAGGAAUUUGCCCCAAAGUGAGGAAUAACUGCCCGAAAGGGUAGCUAAUGCCGCAUAUGGUCUUCGGAUUAAAGCCUUCGGGCGCCUUGGGAGAAGCCUGCGUUGGAUUAGGUAGUUGGUAGGGUAAUGGCCUACCAAGCCGACGAUCCAUAGCUGGUCUGAGAGGAUGAUCAGCCAGACUGGAACUGAGACACGGUCCAG
Molecule: ribosomal RNA, 232 nt
Filed under: uncultured bacterium
Lineage: Bacteria
Description: partial 16S ribosomal RNA
Rfam family: Bacterial small subunit ribosomal RNA
Source: RNAcentral